RNAcentral lists this ribosomal RNA (1143 nucleotides) under Triticum aestivum (bread wheat). RNAcentral describes it as "partial small subunit ribosomal RNA". The record is from RNAcentral. Lineage: Eukaryota; Viridiplantae; Streptophyta; Magnoliopsida; Poales; Poaceae.
AUGACUCCGCCGCCGCAGCCGCAGCCGCAGCCGAGCCAUGACUCGCUGCCGGCGCUGCCCGAUGACCUCAUCGUCGAGAUCCUCCUCCGACUGCCGCCUGACGAGCCGGAGUAUCUCUUCCGCGCCUCCCUCGUCUGCAAGCUCUGGGGCAACCUCCUCUCCGGCCGCGCCUUCCGCCGCCGCUACCGCGAAUUCCAUCAAGCACUUCCCGUGCUGGGAUUCUUUCGUAACCUGUCCGGCCUAGCCCGCUUCGUCCCCACUACGGCAUUCCGCCCUCCCGACUCCGGCAAAAGCUUCGCCUUCGAUUGCCGCCAUGGCCGCGUCCUCCUGAGCGACCGCAGCUUCCCGGAUUCCUUUACCCUCUGGGACCCCAUGACCAACGAGAAGCAGCGCGUGCGCCACCCCGCCAUCCGGGGGAGUUGCUACAACGCGGGGGUGUUCUGCGCCACGCCCGGCUGCGACCACUUUGACUGCCAUGGGGGUCCUUUCCUGGUGGCCUUCGUCGGCACGGACCCCGACGACGACGGCGCGCGCGCCUGCCUCUACUCUUCAGAGACCGGUGUGUGGAGCUCGCCGUCCUAUGUUGAGUUCGGUUAUGAGCUCGAUUCCUAUGUCGACUCGAUGCCCCCCGUCAUGGUGGGAGACGCUCUCUACUUCACCUGUGGGACCGGCAGCCUGAUCCUGCGCUACAACUUGGCCGGCGAUCGGGGCCUAUCAGUGAUCGAUGCCAUGGACGUUUACGAGGGUGGGGAUAACCAGGAUGGGGGUGGCGUUGUCAUCAUGCCAGUGGAAAAUGGUGGACUUGGGCUCGCUGUCCUUAACAUGUUCACCCUCUACCUGUGGGUGCUGAAGACGGGUCCUGGCAGAGCCGCGCGGUGGAAAAAAAGUGGGGUCAUCAAGCUCGAUAUGCUCUCCAUUGGCGACCCAAGGCACUCACUGUGUCUGCUGUCCGCCUUUGCCAAGGGCCGCGCUUCCGAUGUCAUUUUCGUCAGCACGCAUGCUGGUGUCUUCAUGAUCGAGCUCAAGUCGGAGCAAGUGACCAAGGUGUGCGAGAAGGGAUUGUUCAAUGUCUUUCCUUACAUGAGCUUCUGUACUCCAGGUCGUGCUAAUGGGAGAUUGCCAUCUCCAGCGACAACCCAGUGA